AGAGUUUGAUUUUGGCUCAGGAUGAACGCUGGCGGCGUGCCUAACACAUGCAAGUCGAAACGAAGCACCUUACCUGAUUCUUCGGAUGAAGGUCUGGUGACUGAGUGGCGGACGGGUGAGUAACGCGUGGGUAACCUGCCCUGUACAGGGGGAUAACAGUUGGAAACGGCUGCUAAUACCGCAUAAGCGCACGAGAGGACAUCCUCUUGUGUGAAAAACUCCGGUGGUACAGGAUGGGCCCGCGUCUGAUUAGCUGGUUGGCAGGGUAACGGCCUACCAAGGCGACGAUCAGUAGCCGGUCUGAGAGGAUGAACGGCCACAUUGGAACUGAGACACGGUCCAAACUCCUACGGGAGGCAGCAGUGGGGAAUAUUGCACAAUGGGGGAAACCCUGAUGCAGCAACGCCGCGUGGGUGAAGAAGUAUUUCGGUAUGUAAAGCUCUAUCAGCAGGGAAGAUAAUGACGGUACCUGACUAAGAAGCUCCGGCUAAAUACGUGCCAGCAGCCGCGGUAAUACGUAUGGAGCAAGCGUUAUCCGGAUUUACUGGGUGUAAAGGGUGCGUAGGUGGCAGUGCAAGUCAGAUGUGAAAGGCCGGGGCUCAACCCCGGAGCUGCAUUUGAAACUGCUCGGCUAGAGUACAGGAGAGGCAGGCGGAAUUCCUAGUGUAGCGGUGAAAUGCGUAGAUAUUAGGAGGAACACCAGUGGCGAAGGCGGCCUGCUGGACUGUUACUGACACUGAGGCACGAAAGCGUGGGGAGCAAACAGGAUUAGAUACCCUGGUAGUCCACGCCGUAAACGAUG
Molecule: ribosomal RNA, 802 nt
Filed under: uncultured bacterium
Lineage: Bacteria
Description: bacterial SSU rRNA
Rfam family: Bacterial small subunit ribosomal RNA
Source: RNAcentral